AUCUAAUCCGUUGUUGUUCAAAAUUUGUAUAACCCCGAUUCAAAUCUGAGUAGUUUUAGGUAGCCAAUAUGCAGAUGUGAACUAAAAUUCGAUUAUUCAUCUCUGUAUAAAAUGUUGCUGUUGUUGGAAUCCAUUCAAAGGGAUGUCGAAGCGAAAAAAAAGAAAAAAUAUUUUAACUUUUGGAUGGAUACGGAGGAACAAUCCAACAAUUUAUUUUUCAAAGAGACUGUAAAUUGAUAACAAGUCAAACAAAAUUUAUUUUUGUUAGCUGAACAUGUAGCUUUUCUUCGUCUAGGAUUAGGAAACUGGUGAGUAGAUGUAUAAUUUCUUCGAACUGCUACAUUUUCUUUAUUAUUUUCAUGUAGUGCUCGGAUGUUAUUGAUUUGGAAGAAGAAAAGUGCAAGAUAAGAUUAUCCCGUUUUACUUGAGCUGCCGCUAGACGUCGGCUGCUUCCGUUGAUUCAGUGAGAUAAAUCAAAUGUUGAAGGCAAUAAUUGAAUUAUUAAUAACUAUUUGCUAUAUUUUUAGUGCAUCCGCUGGGAGAACCUGGGUGUUCAACGACAUUGAAAAAUACGGGACGGUCCGAAGUCGCUGUGACAUCGGUCAGGAACAUGUGCUGGAAAAAGUGGACGCCCGAAACCGUACAGAAAAAGUCCUGAAAUAGGUGGUUCGAGUCGAACUCUACAAUCUAGAAGAAUACAUCCAGGAGGAAUCAGUCAGAAACAUCCCAGUUCGAGUAAGAAUGACAAGGGGCUGUUCAAAAAGAGCUAGGAGUUAGGACAGCAGAAACAGCAAUGGAAUCCGCUGACAGCAGAAGCUUGUAGGACAGGAAAAGAGAAUUUCAAUCGAAAUUUUUCAAAAGCACGAAUGUUUGAAAGUGCGAACCAGUGCCGAGGAAGCGCAGACACUGUAGAACAUGCUGGGGAACUACCUGGGCCAUGAGAUAGUGGGUCUGACUGGAAAAAUUCUCGGAACCUAUCCGGCUGAACCUUCGGUAGAUGUGCAUAAAAAAGUUCUACCAAAAGCUUGAGGGAACAGCCGUUUCAUUCUAAAAGAUUCUUUGUUCCCCUCUGGGAUGGGCAACAUAGACGUAAUCAGUACCGGAUGUUGGAUGUUCCAGGUUGGUUGAGCCAUGAUAGGUAUUAAUUUUGCAACAGAAGUAAAAUUUAAAAUAAUUAAAAAA
Long non-coding RNA from Uranotaenia lowii, 1182 nucleotides. RefSeq lists it as uncharacterized. The transcript is spliced from 3 exons. Lineage: Eukaryota; Metazoa; Arthropoda; Insecta; Diptera; Culicidae. The record is from RefSeq and is a predicted model, not a curated record.